This 404-nucleotide ribosomal RNA is filed under the name uncultured bacterium. RNAcentral describes it as "partial 16S ribosomal RNA". It matches the Rfam family "Bacterial small subunit ribosomal RNA", at positions 29 to 526 of the family's 1533-position model. The record is from RNAcentral.
AUUGCACGCUGGCGGCAGGCCUAACACAUGCACGUCGAGCGAGCGGCGGACGGGUGAGUAAUGCCUGGGAAUUGCCAAGUCGAGGGGGAUAACAGUUGGAAACGCCUGCUAAAACCGCAUAAGUUAGGAAUGCACAGGUGGGAUUAGCUAGUUGGUGAGGUAAUGGCUCACCUAGGCAACGAUCCCUAGCUGGUCUGAGAGGAUGAUCAGCCACACUGGAACUGAGACACGGUCCAGACUCCUACGGGAGGCAGCAGGGGGGAAGAGUGCGCAAUGGGGGAAACCCUGAUGCAGCCAGGCCGCGUGUGUGAAGAAGGCCUUCGGGUUGUAAAGCACUUUCAGCGAGGAGGCGUUACUCGCAGAGGAAGCACCGGCUAACUCCGUGCCAGCAGCCGCGGUAAUAC